AGGUGGAAGUGGUCAGAGCUCCUGAAUUCACCAGCGCUCCAGAAGAGUGUCAUCCAUCAUGCUACUAUAAGUGGACUUAGGAGGUGAUUCCUGCUACAUCCUUCCAUGCCACAUGAGAUUCAUGUCUACCAAACCUAAUCCUGGGCUUCAGUGGAAUUAACCGUCCAUCUAGAGACAUAAAGUCAUCUUAUACCUUAUUAUCUUCAACGUACUAUGAGAUCCGUGCCUGGCCUCCUUGCUGCUCCUUGGACAAGAUAAUCUUCUACCUCCUGAUUGAUGGCUUCUUUCAAGAUUCAGCUAAAAACCCACCUUCUACAAGAAGCCUCUCCUGAUCCCCCUUAAUUCUACUACUCUCCCUCUGUGAUUACAUCCCAUUUAUCCUGUAUGUAGCAUGUUUGUACAUAGUUGUUUGCACAGUUGUCUCCCCUAUUAGACUGUGAGCUCCUUGAGAGCAUGGACUGAUAGGAGAUAACAUUUGUCAAUUGUUUAGCAUUGCCCCUGGCAUGUAGUAGAUCCCAUUUUAUAU
This is a non-coding RNA of Phascolarctos cinereus (koala), 526 nucleotides long. The record is from RefSeq and is a predicted model, not a curated record. NCBI's taxonomy places the organism in Eukaryota, Metazoa, Chordata, Mammalia, Diprotodontia, Phascolarctidae.